RNAcentral lists this ribosomal RNA (801 nucleotides) under Streptomyces sp. RNAcentral describes it as "bacterial SSU rRNA". It matches the Rfam family "Bacterial small subunit ribosomal RNA", at positions 67 to 883 of the family's 1533-position model. Lineage: Bacteria; Bacillati; Actinomycetota; Actinomycetes; Kitasatosporales; Streptomycetaceae. The record is from RNAcentral.
CGAUGAACCACUUCGGUGGGGAUUAGUGGCGAACGGGUGAGUAACACGUGGGCAAUCUGCCCUUCACUCUGGGACAAGCCCUGGAAACGGGGUCUAAUACCGGAUACGACCUGCCAAGGCAUCUUGGUGGGUGGAAAGCUCCGGCGGUGAAGGAUGAGCCCGCGGCCUAUCAGCUUGUUGGUGAGGUAACGGCUCACCAAGGCGACGACGGGUAGCCGGCCUGAGAGGGCGACCGGCCACACUGGGACUGAGACACGGCCCAGACUCCUACGGGAGGCAGCAGUGGGGAAUAUUGCACAAUGGGCGAAAGCCUGAUGCAGCGACGCCGCGUGAGGGAUGACGGCCUUCGGGUUGUAAACCUCUUUCAGCAGGGAAGAAGCGAAAGUGACGGUACCUGCAGAAGAAGCGCCGGCUAACUACGUGCCAGCAGCCGCGGUAAUACGUAGGGCGCAAGCGUUGUCCGGAAUUAUUGGGCGUAAAGAGCUCGUAGGCGGCUUGUCACGUCGGUUGUGAAAGCCCGGGGCUUAACCCCGGGUCUGCAGUCGAUACGGGCAGGCUAGAGUUCGGUAGGGGAGAUCGGAAUUCCUGGUGUAGCGGUGAAAUGCGCAGAUAUCAGGAGGAACACCGGUGGCGAAGGCGGAUCUCUGGGCCGAUACUGACGCUGAGGAGCGAAAGCGUGGGGAGCGAACAGGAUUAGAUACCCUGGUAGUCCACGCCGUAAACGGUGGGCACUAGGUGUGGGCAACAUUCCACGUUGUCCGUGCCGCAGCUAACGCAUUAAGUGCCCCGCCUGGGGAGUAC